This is a non-coding RNA of Equus caballus (horse), 5694 nucleotides long. The record is from RefSeq and is a predicted model, not a curated record. Lineage: Eukaryota; Metazoa; Chordata; Mammalia; Perissodactyla; Equidae.
ACGGAGAGACACAGACACACAGGCAGAAUGCCAUGCGAUGACAGAGGCAGAGAUCUGAGUGAUGUGUCUACAAACCAAGCAACGUCAAGGACUGCCAGCAGCCCCAGAAGCUGGAAGAGGCAGGAAGAAUCCUCCCUGAGGGCCUUCAGAGAGAGCGUGGCCCUGCUGGUGCCUUGAUUUUGGACUUCUGGCUUCUAGAAGUGUGCGAGAAUAAGGUUCUGUUGCUUGAAGCCACCUAGUCUGUGGUGCUUUGUUUUGACGGCCACAGGAAACCAGUAUUGGAGAUUUGGCCACCCCCGAGACAUGAAGUCAUUGGCAAGCUUGAAAUAUGGACACCUUAUCAUGAUUAAUCCUCUUCCACAUCUAUAAUUCAUAACGUUGAAGAGGAAGCGGAGGAAGAAAGAACUUUUGGAAAGGGUAAUGCUUUUAUGCAGCAAGCUUUGUUGAGUUUAUUUAAAGAUUAUGCAUAUUUUGUUUGCUUUUUAUGCCGUUAAAAUGUUCAGGGAGGGAAGAAAGUUGGAACAGCUUGAGAAAUAUCCGGCAGAAUUCCAUGGUACAAUGGAGAAACCAUCCAGAAAUCGAGAGCGGUCCUGCUAGAAUCAUCUGGGAGCAAGCUGGGAGGAGUCCUCAGGAGCUGCAGAAAGGACAGCUAAUGAAGAACACUGGGCUGGACACUGGGCAGAGUGGGUGACAAGCUCGUUAGUACCUAGGAGUUUGUUUUCAUUUUUCCCCUCGCAGCAAAACAAUUUGAAAGCGGAGACUAAAAAUUCAAUGUCUCAAUAUGGAGGAUUUGGGGGGGCGUAGUUGUACACGUUUGCAGUAGAUAAUGCCAGCUGCCCACCCAAUAUCCGUGUUUUCCCCUUUCUUUCUGUCUAACAGAGCUGUCAUAUGGUCUGGGGAUAUGACACCCAGCUAAAGAAAAAUCACUUCCCCAGGCUCCUUGCCCCCAAGGAAGCCCUGAGUGUAGCUUGGGCAUGGAGAGGAAGCUGCUUGGGACGGGCGGUCCUCCCUAAGUCAAAAGAACUCCCUUUUCCCGCCUUCUGCCUGGUUAUCCCUUUUUCUUUUUCCUGCUGGACGCUUGGUGGUCAUGAAAACUGAGUGCAUCAGGUGUCUUGUAAGAAGCAUGUUUUGUGGGAGAAACGUGCCAAAUGCAUUUAGAUCUCAUGGACUGAAAAAGUAAUAGUGGUUUCCAGUGAGUCAUGGUCUCAUGGGAAUUGCCUUAGAAUGCAGGCCUUGGUUUGUGAGCCAGCUGCCUCUCACAUGGUCAGCCUAUGCAGCGUUAGCUAAGGUGAUUGUCACCGUUUUAUUUAUUUAAUCAUAGUUAAUGCUUCUUCUAAGGAUUCCCAGGAAGCCUGGAUGAUAAUUUACAUAUCAUUAGACAGAAGCUUGUAGUGAUAUGUACAAAAGACAAGAGCCCGACUGUUGGCUAACCCAAUAUCCAUUUUCAAACCCGCUUCGCUCUUGCCCACUGCAGUUAGAGAGGCUGGAAAAACGAAUCAUCUUUCCCAGCCUCCUUUGUGGCCGAGUUGGCUGUGUGUCAUAGUUCUGGCCAAUGGGCCAUAAGCCGAAAUCUCAAGGGGAGGGUUCUAGGAAGGGACAGAUGUGGCUGCCUUGUUCUUCACUUCUUCCUGCCUUGAAUAAGAAUAUGAUGCUGAGUCUGGGGCAGCCAACCUGCCACCAUGAGUGUGAGGCCCUGAAAUGGACAGAAACCCUGUCAUUGACACUAUUGAGCGGCUGGACCAACACUUAAAGCCAAUUUCUGCAGACUCCUGAAUCAACUCUGUUUCCAUCCUUGUAAGUCUGAUUUUUCUCUUACUGGCAGCUCAAAGCAUUCCUGACUAAGACAAUGUGCAAAAUAAGAAAUACAAAUGGCCAAUAGGAUAUGAAAAAAAUUCAGCUUCAAUGAUAAACAAAGGAAUGGAAUUUGGCAAAGAUGUUGAAAUGAUGAUCACACUGCGUGCUGGUAGGAUGUUGUGAGAUAAGUAUUCUCAUUUCCUGCUGGUGACAUUAUAAACUGGUACGGGGUUUCUCCAAAGAUGUGGAUGAAGCUAUGAAGAGCCUUCAAAAUAUUACUACCCUUUGACCAAGUAAUUUCACUCUUGGGAAUUAUCCAAAGGAAAUAGCAACAAGGACACAGACUUACAUGCAUUGUGAUCCAAACUCCGUAAGAAAGAAAAAAAAAGGUAUCUUCAUAGAUAUGUAGACUGCAGGAAAUAAGACAAAAACGUUUGGAAUUGUUAUCUCUUGUUUUGAGUGAUAUUUUGUUUUUUCUUUUUCAAAUUUUUUAGAAAGAACAUGUUUAUUUGGAAAUUAGGAAAACACAACAAAAGUCACUUAAAAGACUAAUACCACCGAAUGCUCACAUCUCUGUCCUUAGAAUUUUUCUACUUUUGUGGAAAUAACAGCCAAGUAUCUUCAGAGUCUUUGGUUACAGGUCUUUCUUUUCAUUUACUUUUAAAUUUCUCACUGAGAGACAGAAUUUACCAGAGUCAUCCUGUGAAACGCUGGGGGUGACUGCACACAUUCAUAUGCUAUUCGAACUGGAUGAUGGUCCUGGGAGGUAAGGAAAGAUGCUAUUAUCCCCAUUUUACUGUUAGGAAAGAAAAAGAAAGGAACUGGGUGUCUUCCUGAGAGUCAUUCUACCUGUGGGAGGCAGAGCUGGGGCCUGACACAGAUUCACUGAUUCUAAGCCCUGAGCUCCUGUUUCGACACCAGGAUUUCUAUCACGCACGGGAGAAACACACACCCAAUUAGAGCCACAGCUAAAAUUCCCUGUAAUUGCAAAAGAGAGCAAGGAGAGAAGCUGGUUUUAUGUCCAGACCGGAAAAGGGGGAGGGAGGCAACUGCAAGCUGCACAAAUUAUACACAUUCCAAAUGCUUAUUUAUACAAACCCCUCCACUCCACCCUCCACCCACGUCUGUAAUGUAACCAACAUGCAAAAACGAAAAUCUGUUUUUGAGCCAGGUGCCAAAAUAAUCAUUGUUAAUACAGAAUAAACAACAAGUACGUUAUAUUGUUUAGGUCUGCAUCGGGGACUUAGAAGCGUUUGGGAAUUAAAAUUGCGUUUGAUACAUAGGAUGCACAAAAUCACGUUUAUACAAAUGAUGGACAGAAUUUAUUCAAGUGGCUGUGUUCACAUGAGUUUCCAUUCUUUCCACUGACACGUGGUGCCACGACCAAAAUUUAAUUCUGGAAAUUAACUUUUCCCUUAGAGAUGGGUGGAACUGAGUAUACUGUGGGCUACAAUAUUCUUAAAUAAUAUUGUGUAUAUGAAAGAGAUGGUUAAUUAUGAGCAACAGUGGAGUUCUUUAAAACCGAACUAUACAUGACAGAAAGCUGGCAAAUUCCUCUUGAAAGUAACCAGGCACAUAAAAUUGUCUUCUGUGUCAAGUUUUCAGUGCCCCAGCCCACUUCCUGUGCAGCACGGCCCUGCGCGGACAGGGCGUGGGUGAGGAAGGCACUUGGCUUCUGGCCAUUGCUCCUGCCCUAACUAGUUGGCAGCCCUCCCCUCGCUAAACACCCAUGCAAAGCAAACUCAGACCCAUUAGAAGUAAGAGGGUGAGGAUAUUCCAUUUCUUCGUGGACCACUGCUUGAUUUUCGUUAAACUCACUCAGAUUUAUUUUACACCCUGGACACCUGAGUUUGCGCUUAUUUUCAAGUUGUCAAGGAAUCUUUUCAGAAAUGAAAAAACACGGCUGUUCUAUUUACAUAGACCUUUUAGUUUUCUUCUCACUCUCUCCCUGUAAGUUCUUUUCGCCCUCGUUUUCAAUUUAUUACCUUUUAAGUAUCCUUAAGUAGCAGAUGUUUAAACACCUUUUAAUCGGAGAAACUGCAAGUGUAAUUGCUGGGUUUGGCAGGAAGCAGGUCCCGGAGCCCCUGGCCGGCUGAUAGCUGUGUUCUGCAGGCAGUGGCAUCUCACCGUAGAAGCAGCGAGACCGGAUCGCAGCCUCCAGACAUCUUCUGGCAAGUUCUGGAGAAGUUUUGCAAUUAACCAGUGGAAUUGGCAUGAAUUGAAAGGAUGCGUAAGGAAAACAUCAGUUCCUGCUGUCAUACCGGCUUCAAGCUCCAGCACCAGAAACAACGACAACAGCCUCAUGGAGACUAUUUAACCAGCUCCUACAGCUGUGUACAGCAAACAUGGAUCUACUUUGCCAAGUCUUUUCCCAUGAUGCUGAUGCCUCCGCGCAGACCUUCUUGGUGAGGGGCACAGACACACGUCUGGUGACACUCCCUGGGCCCCCACUUGGACACCCCAGAGACAUUCCAGUGCACCAUGAGCAAAACGGAAUUGCCCCUCAAGCCUCACCCGCCAUCCUUAUGUGGCCUCCUACUGCCCUAUACCAAUCAACAGCCCACGCCACCUCCUGGACAUCCUCCCCUCCUUUUUUUCAGCUCCAUCGCUGUCUCUUUGCCCCUCCACCAUGCUGACCAGGACUGUUGCAAGAGACCCUCAACUGCUCUCCUUGCCUCCAUCCUCACCUCCUCGAAUUCCUUCUCUACACUUAAGCCACUGAGCCUUUUAAAAUGCAAAUCUGACUAUGUCACUCUUGGGGCCAAAAGCCACCCAUUGUGUCCAUUGGCCCUUUGGAUGAAAUUCAAAGCCAUAGUCCUGACUUCCUGGCCUGCACAACCUUGACUCCCUCCUCUUGGACCCUAUGUGUCAGCCCAGCCACUCUGAACUUCUUUCUAUAACUUCUGUGCUCACUCCCUUUGCCUGGAAACCACCUCCCCCCACUCCCCACUCUUCUACACCACCCGGGGGGAGCCUUGUCUAUGUUGUCCGUGUCCCGUCGUCACCCCCCAUCACGCCCCCACCGCCCCAGCUCAGUGUGAAUGCCCUUUCGUGAUCCCAUUAGAUGAUGUUGGGGGCUUCUGCUCUGUAUCCCAACUCCUCAAGCCCUACCCCCCUAAUAUAAUAAAAUUCAUGUCCGCUCUGUGUCCUGCCCUCACUUUACUAUAUGGAGUCUCUCUGAUCUGACUUUAAGAGAGGUUGCUGAUGGCUCUUAAACAGGACUCAGGGCCUCCUCUCUUCGACCUCUAAGUAUUGACGUCUGUAGGACCACGUUCUGAGGCCUCUUUUCUUCCCCAUCCAUUCUUUCCCCAGGUAAUUACCUUUUGCAGGUAAUUGCUUUUGGCUUUACAUGUAAUUAGGGUGACAGACCAUCCCCGUUUGCUGGGGACCGAGGGGUUUCCUGGAAUGUGGCACUUUAAGGGCUGAAAACGGGAAAGUCCUGGGCAAACUGGGAUGACGGGGUCACCCUAGUUACCAUCCAAUGCUGGCAAUCCCAAAAAUUCAUAUCUGCAGCCCAGUCUCUCCCCUGAGUGCCAGACAUGGGAAUUGAAUACUUAAUUGGCAUUUCCAUUGUGAUGUGUCAUUGGCAUCUCAAAGCUGAGGUGGCCCAGACAAGGCUGUGGUCCCAGAAAACCUCAUCCCACUGUCACCCAACUCACUAGACUCCACCCGUCCUCAAACAUGCCCAACUGCUUCCCAUCUCAGGACCUUUGCACCUGUCAUUUCUUCUACAGGAAACACCCUUCCCCUCCUCUUCUCUGUUAGCCACUGCUCUUCCUUCUAGUUUCAGCCUAAUUGCCACUUCUUCAUAGAGUCCUUUCUGGACCUAAAGCAGCCCACUUCCCUAUUCCAUCAUAUCACCUGGCUUAUAUUUCUCAUGGCACUUACAACCGGAAAUGA